This 492-nucleotide ribosomal RNA is filed under the name uncultured bacterium. RNAcentral describes it as "partial 16S ribosomal RNA". It matches the Rfam family "Bacterial small subunit ribosomal RNA", at positions 29 to 507 of the family's 1533-position model. The record is from RNAcentral.
AGUGAACGCUGGCGGUAGGCCUAACACAUGCAAGUCGAACGGCAGCACAGUAAGAGCUUGCUCUUACGGGUGGCGAGUGGCGGACGGGUGAGGAAUACAUCGGAAUCUACUUUUUCGGGGGGGAUAACGUAGGGAAACUUACGCUAAUACCGCAUACGACCUACGGGUGAAAGCAGGGGAUAUUCGGACCUUGGGCGAUUGAAUGAGCCGAUGUCGGAUUAGCUAGUUGGCGGGGUAAAGGCCCACCAAGGCGACGAUCCGUAGCUGGUCUGAGAGGAUGAUCAGCCACACUGGAACUGAGACACGGUCCAGACUCCUACGGGAGGCAGCAGUGGGGAAUAUUGGACAAUGGGCGCAAGCCUGAUCCAGCCAUACCGCGUGGGUGAAGAAGGCCUUCGGGUUGUAAAGCCCUUUUGUUGGGAAAGAAAAGCAGCAGGUUAAUACCCCGCUGUUCUGACGGUACCCAAAGAAUAAGCACCGGCUAACUUCGUG